Molecule: unclassified non-coding RNA, 216 nt
Filed under: Hevea brasiliensis (rubber tree)
Lineage: Eukaryota; Viridiplantae; Streptophyta; Magnoliopsida; Malpighiales; Euphorbiaceae
Source: RNAcentral
AAAUAUAAGACCUUUUUAGUGAGAAUUUCAAGCCUUCAUAGCUGGGAUACUUCCCAUAAUCUCAUUCAUUUAGUUCUUUCUUUUUUUCUUUAAAAUGAUACAUUUUUUCAUUCCAUGAAAGAUUGCAACUUCAGAUUUUAAUUUUCAGGACCUGGCUCAUUGAGGUCUGGGUUCUUCAACUCUUUCAUAUGGAAAAUGAAAUCCAGAAAUUGUGUU